This 85-nucleotide transfer RNA is filed under the name Saprospiraceae bacterium. RNAcentral describes it as "tRNA-Leu". It matches the Rfam family "tRNA". Rfam says of the family: Transfer RNA (tRNA) molecules are approximately 80 nucleotides in length. Their secondary structure includes four short double-helical elements and three loops (D, anti-codon, and T loops). Lineage: Bacteria; Pseudomonadati; Bacteroidota; Saprospiria; Saprospirales; Saprospiraceae. The record is from RNAcentral.
GCGGGUGUGGUGAAAUUGGUAGACACGCCAGACUUAGGAUCUGGUGCCGCAAGGUAUGGGGGUUCGAGUCCCUCCACCCGCACCA